CCUACGGGAUGCAGCAGUGGGGAAUAUUGGACAAUGGGGGGAACCCUGAUCCAGCGACGCCGCGUGAGUGAAGAAGUAUUUCGGUAUGUAAAGCUCUAUCAGCAGGGAAGAAAGAAAUGACGGUACCUGACUAAGAAGCCCCGGCUAACUACAUGCCAGCAGCCGCGGUAAUACGUAGGGGGCAAGCGUUAUCCGGAUUUACUGGGUGUAAAGGGAGCGUAGACGGCGAUGCAAGUCUGAAGUGAAAGGCGGGGGCCCAACCCCCGGACUGCUUUGGAAACUGUAUGGCUGGAGUGCAGGAGAGGUAAGUGGAAUUCCUAGUGUAGCGGUGAAAUGCGUAGAGAUGAGGAGGAACACCAGUGGCGAAGGCGGCUUACUGGACUGUAACUGACGUUGAGGCUCGAAAGCGUGGGGAGCAAACAGGAUUAGAUACCCUAGUAGUC
RNAcentral lists this ribosomal RNA (443 nucleotides) under uncultured bacterium. Its description in RNAcentral is "partial 16S ribosomal RNA". It matches the Rfam family "Bacterial small subunit ribosomal RNA", at positions 338 to 795 of the family's 1533-position model. The record is from RNAcentral.